RNAcentral lists this ribosomal RNA (773 nucleotides) under Anophryoides haemophila. RNAcentral describes it as "partial Bacterial small subunit ribosomal RNA". It matches the Rfam family "Bacterial small subunit ribosomal RNA", at positions 1 to 772 of the family's 1533-position model. The record is from RNAcentral. Lineage: Eukaryota; Ciliophora; Oligohymenophorea; Philasterida; Glauconematidae.
AUGGAGAGUUUGAUCCUGGCUCAGGAUGAACGCUAGCGGCAGGCCUAAUACAUGCAAGUCGAACGGUAACAGGACCAGCAAUGGUCGCUGACGAGUGGCGCACGGGUGCGUAACACGUAUGCAAUCUACCUUUAACUGGAGAAUAGCCCCGAGAAAUCGGGAUUAAUACUCCAUAAUAUUAUGAAGUGGCAUCACUUUAUAAUUAAAGCUCAGGCGGUUAAAGAUGAGCAUGCGCGAUAUUAGCUAGUUGGUGAGGUAACGGCUCACCAAGGCUACGAUAUCUAGGGGAUCUGAGAGGAUUUACCCCCACACUGGUACUGAGACACGGACCAGACUCCUACGGGAGGCAGCAGUAAGGAAUAUUGGACAAUGGGCGCAAGCCUGAUCCAGCCAUGCCGCGUGCAGGAUGACGGCCCUAUGGGUUGUAAACUGCUUUUGUACGGGAAAAAACCCUUCUACGUGUAGAAGGCUGAUGGUACCGUAAGAAUAAGGAUCGGCUAACUCCGUGCCAGCAGCCGCGGUAAUACGGAGGGAGCUAGCGUUAUUCGGAAUUACUGGGCGUAAAACGCACGUAGGCGGCUUUGUAAGUUAGAGGUGAAAGCCUGGAGCUCAACUCCAGAAUUGCCUUUAAGACUGCAUCGCUUGAAUCCAGGAGAGGUGAGUGGAAUUCCGAGUGUAGAGGUGAAAUUCGUAGAUAUUCGGAAGAACACCAGUGGCGAAGGCGGCUCACUGGACUGGUAUUGACGCUGAGGUGCGAAAGCGUGGGGAACAAA